GAGUGUGUUGGCGGCUCGGACCGAGGCGAACUUGCAGGCCAGUGGCUCGGUGGGGAGCGGCCGAGGUAGAGCUACAGCCCGGCAGCUCGGACACGACCGAGGCGAGGUGAGCCACGGCAGGUGCGCGACGGCGCAGCUUGAUGAGGGAUGACCCGGCGGUGCGGCGGGGGGCCCAAGCGAGGUGAUAGCCGGAGCACCGACGACGCUCGCAAGGUGCGAGCCACCUGGCGGUGCGGCCCUGCGUCUUAGCAAGGACGGACGCGGCGCAGCUGACCGGGGACCGCGGCGCAGUGGUAGCAUGAACAAAGCCAGGCGAGCCGGAGCGGUGCAGCGACCCAGGGUCGGCUCGUGCUGGGCGCGUGGAGGUGGAGACGGUCUGGAGGGGAGGG
RNAcentral lists this long non-coding RNA (389 nucleotides) under Hordeum vulgare. RNAcentral describes it as "long non-coding RNA (HVUL_LNC010430)". Lineage: Eukaryota; Viridiplantae; Streptophyta; Magnoliopsida; Poales; Poaceae. The record is from RNAcentral.